This is a long non-coding RNA of Populus euphratica (Euphrates poplar), 2736 nucleotides long. RefSeq lists it as uncharacterized. The record is from RefSeq and is a predicted model, not a curated record. The transcript has 3 exons. NCBI's taxonomy places the organism in Eukaryota, Viridiplantae, Streptophyta, Magnoliopsida, Malpighiales, Salicaceae.
ACAGCUCUUGUUCUAUUCUCUGCUCUCUCGCGCGGCUCACUCCACUGUUGGCAAAGAUGGAGUUCGCGAACCUUGAAGGUCAUCGUCAGGACGGUCGCCGCCCCAUGGAAGUACAAUCCACUCAUAUACCAUUCUCUUUUGCUUCUUAGUUGUCUUUUCAUAUUUAAUUUCGCUCACUAAUCUUCUCAGAUGAGGCAACUCAAAGCACAAGUUGAUGUCGUAGCCAAAGCAGACGGGUAUGCUUAAUUAUCUCUAACCACCUCAUCAAAUUUCAGCUUCUUGGCAUAAAGUUUUAAAAAACUAUUGUUUCUUUUGUAGUUCUGCUGUUUUUGAGAUGGUUGAAUACUAAAUUAAUCGCUGCUGUGAGGCAGCUAAUCACCAAACAGAGAGUUUUUACCCUGAUUUCCUUUUUAAAGAGCACGGGGCAACUUUACUGUGGGUGCUUUGAAAGAUUUCAAGUAUUGCCUGCCAGUAUAACCUUUUCUUCUUGAAUCUGCAAGGGUGUGCAAAUAAACAUUUGCAAUCGCAAAAGGUAAGCCUCUCCAUGCUAGUGGUAUUUAGCUUUUGAAUUGCCAGAAAUAUUAAUCCAUUUAAUAUCCUAAAAACUACUAAUAGACUCAUGAUCUAAUGGCAAUGACAUCAUUCCUCCAUGCUCUUGAAAGAAACUUGUGAUCCUAGUUUCAGAUAUUGGAGAUUGAGAGGGGUCAAUGGAUGAGAUUUGUAAUGAAAAGAAAUGAUUUAAUUCUGAAUUAAGAGUAAAAUAGUCAGGAUUUUUAUUUUCGAGCAAGUCUUGUUGAUUAUGCCAAUUUUAAAUUGCUUGAUUAUGCCACUUUCCAAACAGUAAUAUUUUUAUUUUUGUAAUAGUUUGAAUAGCAAUAAGACUUUUAUGUAGCAUUAACAGUAUAAACAGUAUUAUCCUAUAAAUAAAUUAUCAACUUUUAUUUUGAUAAAUUUCUUGAAGGUGAAAUAUAGGUUCCCAAAGGCCAACUCAUCUAUAAUACCUUAAAAGAUUCUGAGAAGGCUGAUAGGAGACAAAGAAAGAACAUAGUCAUGGCAGAAUCAAGCCAACUUUUUAAGAAAAAAGUGAUAAAAUAGAUCAUUCACUUGAAAGGUUUUGGGGAGGACCACUACAAACAAAAACUAAUAACAUGAACUUCACUAGGGACAUGCCUUCCUCCCUGUUAUUCUAUGUUAGCCAAAACGUACAAUUUAUUGCUUCAAAUGCCCUGGGAGUAUUGAAGGCUCCUGCAAUCAUGCUUCAAAAUACAUCGUAAACUACUAUAAACCAAAUGCCCCAAAUGCCUCCACCCUUAUUUCGACCUGAAUAUCAUGUUUUCCAAAAUACCCAAGGUCCAAGCCACAAAGGAAAACAUUGUGAAUAAUCAACCUUGUGAAUGCUUGUAUAAUAGCACAUCUACCACUCAAACUCAUCCAGCCACAUUUCUCUUACUGUUAUAAAAAGAAUGCUAAAUAUGAAUAUAUACUAUACAAGAGCCAUGAGACAUUCCAUUGAUCAUUAUUGAGGUUUUAGAAAGCAGGUUAAUAAAAUGAUUCACCAUGGAUGGUUAUCAUUUUAAGAGAGAGACAGAGUAUCCAACAUAACCACAAAUAAGCAUCAGGUCGUUAAAGAUGAGGGCGUAUAUGAUCUAUUUUCAACUAAUGAAGAAUGUUGCGAGCCAAAUGUUGGCAUUCCAAAAACGUUUAGAGUCCUCUAAUUUGUUAAGUAUGCAGGAUCUCAAUGUCUAGAGACCCAUCUCAAAGUAUACAACAAUAAAAUGACUGAAGUUAUCCAUGAAGAGUAACUUUUUAUCCAUCAUUUUCAUGAAAAGCCUAGUUGAACUUGUUUUAAGUUGGUUUAUGGGUUUGAAUGGCACUAAAAUGGAGAAGUGAGAAUAUUUGGCCGACGCAUGUUUUAAAAAAAUUGGACUUAACUUGAUGGUGAUUCCAACGAGGUAUGACCUUUAAAGAACGGGGAUGAGAAGUAAUGAGUUAGUCAAGGAAUAUGUUAUGAGACUACAUGACAUGACAACAUAAAUCUACCCUUCUCUGCUUGAAAAUGAGACUUUAGAGCUCAAUAACUCUAGUCAUUUUAGAAGCUCCAUGCUUCGGCUACUUGAUGAACAAUUCAUCAAGCUAUUUUAUGGAUUUAGGGACUGCAGCAAAAAGGAUGGAGCAAGGCUUGAAGUCAGGAAGGAUCAGGAAUCCGAUAGUGAGAUUUAAUGUUAUGUCAACGAACAAAUCAAAAGAGGACUCCCAUAUAGAGAAUAUGGAUCAAAAUCAUUUUAUACCUCAUCUUAAAUACCGUCUAUUUUCAUAACACCAAUAACUUUCUAAGUGUCAUUAGCUAAUAUUGACAUAUCUCUAUCACUUAGCAUUAUUUACCAACACCUUUGAAAUAUUGGGCACAUUGCUCUGAUUCCAUCAAAUCCCAUAUGACCACUAUACCUGAAGUGGUAUGACCCAAAUGUAAAGUGUAAGUAUCAUGAUGAUGAGAACCCAUGACAAUCAAUUGAGAAUUACAAGACGUUGAAGCAUCAAAGCCAAAAGUGGGUAGGAUGGGGCAUGAGGAUGGAAGAUGCACAAGAUGAAUGUACAACCACAUAUAUUUGUUGGUGGGGGUUGAUACGAAAUAGAAGUGUUACAUUGUCAACUCUUUUAUUAUUGAACUUUGCCGAUUCAUAUUUUUGUUGAAAAAAACAUCGAAAUCUUGGAAUUAUUAAAUGUGUUUUCCAUGUA